This is a long non-coding RNA of Mytilus californianus (California mussel), 662 nucleotides long. RefSeq lists it as uncharacterized. The record is from RefSeq and is a predicted model, not a curated record. The transcript is spliced from 2 exons. Lineage: Eukaryota; Metazoa; Mollusca; Bivalvia; Mytilida; Mytilidae.
AUCUUACUUUGCUGAACAUUAUUGCUGUUUACAGUUUAUCUCUAUCUAUAAUAAUAUUCAAGAUAAUAACCAAUAAAAUGCUUCGCUGGGGCGCAGCUUGAUACGACCGCAGAGGUCGAACCCUGAACAGUUGGGGCAAGUAUGGACACAAAAUUCAAGCUUGAUACAGCUAUGACUUUGGAUUGUCAUUAAAUAUUUGACACAGCAUAGGUUUCUGACACAGGAUGAAUGUGGUGUAAGAACUGGAAAAAAUUUAAUUUACCUAUUAUGGUGGAAUAUCCAUAAACUAAAUUGUUUGUUAAUUUCAAUAUAUCAAAGAAUAUGUAGAAUUCAAUGUUUGAUGUAAUGUAAUAAAGUUGAAAUUUGGACUGUUUUUGUUCAAUGUGGACCAAUUUGGUAACAUGUAUAAAUAAUCAAAAAUCUAAAUACAUGGGAGCCCAUUUAAAUACAUCAUAAAGGUAUUAAAAUAGAAAGUGACAUCAUAGUCAUGGCUAAAAAUAAACAAAAAUCCUUAAUCAGCAACAUUUAAAGUAAUAUCUAAAAAUAAAAUUCCUUUGUAACCAUAAAAGCCCAUUUAAAUACAUCAUAAAGAUAUUAAAAUAGAAAAUGACAUCAUAGUCAUGGCUAAACAUAGCAAAAAACCCUUAAUCAGCAUCAUUUAA